This 254-nucleotide ribosomal RNA is filed under the name uncultured bacterium. Its description in RNAcentral is "partial 16S ribosomal RNA". It matches the Rfam family "Bacterial small subunit ribosomal RNA", at positions 524 to 776 of the family's 1533-position model. The record is from RNAcentral.
UACGGGGGGAGCAAGCGUUGUUCGGAUUUACUGGGCGUAAAGGGCGCGUAGGCGGUCAGCACAAGUCAGUUGUGAAAUCUCCGAGCUUAACUCGGAAAGGUCAACUGAUACUGUGCGACUAGAGUGCAGAAGGGGCAACUGGAAUUCUUGGUGUAGCGGUGAAAUGCGUAGAUAUCAAGAGGAACACCUGCGGCGAAGGCGGGUUGCUGGGCUGACACUGACGCUGAGGCGCGAAAGCCAGGGGAGCGAACGGG